AGCCGCCAAUGUGAUAUGGCCUUGAAAAAAGCGAAUGUGGUCUUGGGAUGCAUCAGGCGAGAUAUGCUCUAGUUCAAAAGGAACAAUGUCCAAUCUUGAACUUGAAGACAGACCGGAUGAUCACAGUGGUCCCUUCUGGCAAUGGAUUCAAUUCAUACCAGUAGGGAAUCUCGACUGGCUAAUGAAGAGAUGGCUUUUCCUCCUAAUGGAAUGUUCCACUCUAACCAUCCCACCAGAGGAGUUCUCAUCUUCAAAAAAACCCAUUUUUUCUAUAUAUUAGAAUCAUCCAUCAGUCCAGUUUUCCACAGUCCCCAUUCCUGAAUGGUACGGUAAUGAAGAUUCCCUCGAGAGUGAAAAGCUUUGUAUUCAUGUCAAGGGCUGCAGAAAUAUUUCAAGAUAAAACCAAGGGAGAGUGCUCUGGCAGUGAUAAAAGAGCCCUGAAUCUCUCUGUGCUGUGAAGGUGUUGAGUGGUAGAUCUUGAGUAUCCGAAGCAGCAAAUGGCAUAUGAGCACCAUUCUCGUACUGAUAAUGCUGAAGGGUCUGGUGAUUCCCAUGGAGUGGGUUGACAUCUGUUUUUGUUGAAAGCUGGCCGUGAGUGGAAACCAACCUCUGCCUCAUGAUGCUUUUGGAAAUCACUGGAUAUUCUUUGCUGCAGUCUCUUUGAGCAUUAGAGCAAAGGAGGGACAUGUUCUUCAGUGGUUCUGUCCGCUUGAGUUGGGCCUCAAACAGGAGUGCCGAAGCCAGCUGGGAAAAUGACGAGCUUAUGUAACCUGUUUCUGAGUGCUCUGCAUGCCCUCUGCAUCAAAGGCUUUGGCUGAAACAUCUGAAAACACUGACUUGAAAAUUCCAUAGCGGAGAGUGAAGCCCAAUUGCACCACGCAGAUGAAUCACUGAGCAAGUCACGCAUGGCACUUCAAGAGGCCAAUGCAACAGCACUAAAGCAGUUAGCGACAAUGACAUCUCGGGAGGGACAAGUAUUUUUGCUCAAAAGAUGUAAAUCCAAGAUGGCCACCAUCAACAGGUCUUCUGAGACCAUAUGCAGGUGAGGCCAAGAAAAGUCGUGCCAGUUUGGAUAAAUGAGGAAGAUUCAUCUGGUCUGCCCACAGAUCUUCACCUGGUGGCUUUGUGGCUCUUUCCCACAGAACAAAUAUAAUUAGAGAAGAAAUAGUCAACACUCAACCCACUCCAAAUCUAAGGCCUCAUAGAUACUUUUUUUUUAAGGCCAGAAGGGACAAUUACAUCGUCUAGUCUAAACUGUAUAUCACAGGCCAUAGCGUUUCAUGCAGUUACCCCUGGAUUGACCCCAAUAACUUGUGUCUGACUAAAGCAUGUCAUCUAAAAGGCAUCCAGGCUUAAUUUGAAAACAUCAAGUGAUGGAGACUCCACCAUUUCCCUUAGUAGUUUGUUCGCUGGUUAAUUGCCCUCACUAUUAAUA
Mauremys mutica (yellowpond turtle) is the source of this 1435-nucleotide long non-coding RNA. RefSeq lists it as uncharacterized. Lineage: Eukaryota; Metazoa; Chordata; Testudines; Geoemydidae. The transcript has 9 exons. The record is from RefSeq and is a predicted model, not a curated record.